CCGACGUAUCCGGUGCGUAUUCAGCUCUUGGCGGGUGUUUGUGGUGAGUGCGGAGUUCUGCAAAGUCUUCCACUUAUCAAUCAAGUGCUUGCUGUGGGUGCAUUUGCGUACAGAGUGCGCCGAAUCGGUUGGUCGCGUCGUUUGAAGCGGACGAAGAGGACUCGCUUGCGAGAAACCUGAGUCUGUGGAUGGCGAGUGGGGCUAAUUGUUGGUGGAGUUGGUGAAUUCGUGGUGGCUUGUUUUGGUUGGGGCUGUUCGGGUGAAGUGCUUGCAUUUUGCUCUUUUGGUUCCAGUCAUUGUAGGCCAUUGCUCUACUCCCAUUCGGUGUCCAGUCGGUCACCCAUUCGACCCGUCUUGAAACACGGACCAAGGAGUUUAAGGUUUACGCAAGUCAUUGGGUGUUGAAAUCCAAAGGCGUAAUGAAAGUGGGACACUUGGUGUCUGCGGUGUGAUUUGUGUGCGUUCGUUGUGCACGAAGCACAUCGACCCAUGACUAGGAUUUAUUCUGUUGUGGAGUCUGAGCGUAAGCUUUGAGACCCGAAAGAUGGUGAACUAUGCCCGAACAGGA
Molecule: ribosomal RNA, 568 nt
Filed under: Aphelenchoides sp. G022
Lineage: Eukaryota; Metazoa; Nematoda; Chromadorea; Rhabditida; Aphelenchoididae
Description: partial 28S ribosomal RNA
Rfam family: Eukaryotic large subunit ribosomal RNA
Source: RNAcentral